Molecule: ribosomal RNA, 254 nt
Filed under: uncultured bacterium
Lineage: Bacteria
Description: partial 16S ribosomal RNA
Rfam family: Bacterial small subunit ribosomal RNA
Source: RNAcentral
UACGAAGGGGGCUAGCGUUGUUCGGAAUCACUGGGCGUAAAGCGCACGCAGGCGGAUCGUUAAGUCAGGGGUGAAAUGCCGAGGCUCAACCUCGGAACUGCCUUUGAUACUGGCGAUCUUAGAGUCCGGGAGAGGUGAGUGGAACUCCGAGUGUAGAGGUGAAAUUCGUAGAUAUUCGGAAGAACACCAGUGGCGAAGGCGGCUCACUGGCCCGGUACUGACGCUGAGGCGCGAAAGCGUGGGGAGCAAACAGG